GGGUCAGGUGGAGGGGCUCGUCCGGGUUCAGGCCCCGGGCCAGCGCCCGCGCCACGGCCACCCGCUGGAUCCUCACCAGCUCGGCCAUC
This 89-nucleotide transfer RNA is filed under the name Planobispora rosea. RNAcentral's name for it is "tRNA-Leu". The record is from RNAcentral. Lineage: Bacteria; Bacillati; Actinomycetota; Actinomycetes; Streptosporangiales; Streptosporangiaceae.